GGGUCAGAAGGUUGGUCGUGCCACCGGUACGUACUGGUCUCACUGAUUCCUCCUUCCUGAAGAACCGUAAUGCCAUUAAUUUGGUGUUGCGGGGAAACAGGACUGUUACUUUGAAAAAAUUAGAGUGUUUAAAGCAAGCUAACGCUUGAAUACAUUAGCAUGGAAUAAUGAAAUAGGACGAUCGAUCCUAUUAUGUUGGUUUCUAGGAUUGACGUA
This 216-nucleotide ribosomal RNA is filed under the name Glomeromycotina sp. RNAcentral's name for it is "partial small subunit ribosomal RNA". The stretch from base 40 to 216 matches the Rfam family "Eukaryotic small subunit ribosomal RNA", at positions 686 to 864 of the family's 1831-position model. Lineage: Eukaryota; Fungi; Glomeromycota. The record is from RNAcentral.